UACGUAGGGUGCGAGCGUUAAUCGGAAUUACUGGGCGUAAAGAGCUCGUAGGCGGUCUGUCGCGUCGGCUGUGAAAACUCGGGGCUCAACCCCGAGCCUGCAGUCGAUACGGGCAGACUAGAGUGCUGUAGGGGAGACUGGAAUUCCUGGUGUAGCGGUGAAAUGCGCAGAUAUCAGGAGGAACACCGGUGGCGAAGGGCGGGGUCUCUGGGCAGUAACUGACGCUGAGGAGCGAAAGCGUGGGGGAGCGAACAGG
This 256-nucleotide ribosomal RNA is filed under the name uncultured bacterium. RNAcentral describes it as "partial 16S ribosomal RNA". It matches the Rfam family "Bacterial small subunit ribosomal RNA", at positions 524 to 776 of the family's 1533-position model. The record is from RNAcentral.